Long non-coding RNA from Melospiza melodia melodia, 853 nucleotides. RefSeq lists it as uncharacterized. The record is from RefSeq and is a predicted model, not a curated record. Lineage: Eukaryota; Metazoa; Chordata; Aves; Passeriformes; Passerellidae. The transcript has 2 exons.
CCGUCCCGGCCCUGCCCGCGGCCGGCCGGCUUCAGUCGUCCGCCUUCUUGCGCAGGUUGAGGAGGCAGAGCAGGCAGGCUGAGCACCACAAAAACCAGCCCUGGCCCACAGCACCAGGAGGAUACAUCCAUCAGGUUGACCAUGUUGCGGCAGGAGUCCAGGCUGAACCCAUCCGUUUUCAGGUCUUUGUCUGAGGAGGAAGGAGGAGGUUGAGCACAUGCACCAAAACCCAGCCUGCUGAGCAACCUGGGCUGCAGGGAGCAGGGUUAGGAAGAGUAGUGCUUACGUCUUGCGAUGACUCUGUUCAGAAUAGUCCGAAGCUCAAAGACGUUGAUUUCCAUGUCCUGGAACAGAAGCAGAGUUAGCAUCACCCCUUGCCUGCUCUCCACCCCACUUGUGGCCAUUGUCCCCCUCCUGCCUAAACAUCUCUGCCUUAGUCACAAAACAUGAAGAUGCCAUUACAUUUCUUGUACACUCAGAAGAGUUUUGGUCACAGCUGGGUGCUCUUCCCCAAAUCUGCCCCUGUCAUCACACCAUCCCUGCGGGCAGCUGGGCUGAGCCACAGCAAAGAUGGACUUGUCUGCAGGAUGGGACUGAGUGAGGUGGGGUGGGCUGGAACUCCCACGGCCAGGGGUUCAGUCCUGUCCCCUCCCCUCCCCAGAGGGCUUUCCAGAGCUCGGUGCAGCCGUACCCACCUCCCCUGCCAGCUGCUGGAACAUGUUCUUGAAGCUGUCCUCUAUGUCAUCCUCAGUUAUUUCCUCCUGGGGUGAUGCAAACCAGAAAGAAGAGGUUAGUGGUCAAACCCAGGCUCUGCCCUGCCUUCCAGGCUCAAUAAAUGCCAACUGGAAAGGAA